CCUACGGGUGGCAGCAGUGAGGAAUAUUGGUCAAUGGACGCAAGUCUGAACCAGCCAUGCCGCGUGCAGGAAGACGGCUCUAUGAGUUGUAAACUGCUUUUGUACGAGGGUAAACGCAGAUACGCGUAUCUGUCUGAAAGUAUCGUACGAAUAAGGAUCGGCUAUCUCCGUGCCAGCAGUCGCGGUAAAACGGAGGAUUCAAGCGUUAUCCGGAUUUAUUGGGGUUAAAGGGUGCGUAGGCUGUGAGGUAAGUCAGCGGUGAAAUGCCCCCGCUCAACGGGGUGAAGGGCCAUUGAUACUGCCUUGCUGGACUGCGGAUGCCGUGUGCGGAAUGUGUGGUGUAGCGGUGCAAUGCAUAGAUAUCACUCAGAACACCGAUUGCGAAGGCAUCUCACGAAUCCGCGAUUGACGCUGAUGCACGAAAGCGUUGGUAUCAAACAGGAUUAGAUACCCCUGUAGUC
RNAcentral lists this ribosomal RNA (461 nucleotides) under uncultured bacterium. Its description in RNAcentral is "partial 16S ribosomal RNA". It matches the Rfam family "Bacterial small subunit ribosomal RNA", at positions 338 to 795 of the family's 1533-position model. The record is from RNAcentral.